CAGCAGCCGCGGUAAUACGAAGGGUGCAAGCGUUAAUCGGAAUUACUGGGCGUAAAGGGUGCGUAGGCGGUGAGUUAAGUCUGUUGUGAAAUCCCCGGGCUCAACCUGGGAAUGGCAAUGGAUACUGGCUCGCUAGAGUGUGAUAGAGGAUGGUGGAAUUCCCGGUGUAGCGGUGAAAUGCGUAGAGAUCGGGAGGAACAUCAGUGGCGAAGGCGGCCAUCUGGAUCAACACUGACGCUGAAGCACGAAAGCGUGGGGAGCAAACAGGAUUAGAUACCCCUGUAGUCCCUGUCUCUUAUAC
RNAcentral lists this ribosomal RNA (301 nucleotides) under uncultured bacterium. RNAcentral's name for it is "partial 16S ribosomal RNA". It matches the Rfam family "Bacterial small subunit ribosomal RNA", at positions 509 to 807 of the family's 1533-position model. The record is from RNAcentral.